GUUUUUCCCUUCCCUCGUUGGAGUCGUGUCUGUCAUUGCAGUCACUGUCUGGAGGUUGAAACCUUCAAAAGAAUGUGGUCCUUUCCGAGGUCUGCCUUCUAUAUACACAGCAAUUUCUGAGUGGGUAAAAAUACUGGAAAAUUACAUUGAUUCCAGAUGGGUAGCAUGGAUCUACUACAACUUAAUUACAAGUGAACUUUUCUUCUUCAUCCUCUCCGUCAUUAUCCUAGUUAUUACUUACCUUUACUGGCAAAUAGUAAGAGGAAGAAGAACCAUGGCCAAGCUCUUAUGUGAGCAAAUUGUUAAUGAAGGAAAAGAUAAAAUGUUUUUACUUGAGAAACUACGGAUACUACAGAGAACAAAAAACAUGUUUGCACUGAGAAGACAAGACCAGCAGAGAAGUUCUUCUUUAGCUCGCUCAUCCAUGCCACCUGCCCAGCAAGAACCAAACUACCCAGAAAGGACAUUUGACAGAAAUCAAAAUGCAUCCUACAAUGAGUAUCCUUAUUCUGCUGGGAUCUCGAGGGGGGCUGGCUUCCCAUCUGAUUGGGAAACAUCCCAGCCAAGCAGCAGCUCAGGGAUGUCUGAGGCAGUGGCACUCGCUCUGCGUGCGAGGCAAGCAGCUCAGUGGGAAGAUCUAAAUGACAGCAUCGAUUUUCGACCAUGAGCAGGCAGUCAGCAAUGGAUGCUGAGUAACCCAUGGAUGUUCUGCAGAAGGCAAUACUGAUUCACACGACUGAAAGAACCACUGAUUUUUUUUUUCCCCUCUCGUGGAAGAGAAAACAGAGGUUGCAAAAUGCGAUCUGAGCCAACUGAGCAUUGGUCAAAUACAGAGAAAAUAAAAUGAAAGCACAGUUGUUUUUAAUGACUGUG
Molecule: long non-coding RNA, 873 nt
Filed under: Chrysolophus pictus (golden pheasant)
Lineage: Eukaryota; Metazoa; Chordata; Aves; Galliformes; Phasianidae
Description: lncRNA (ENSCPIG00010002219.1)
Source: RNAcentral